UACAGAGGGGGCAAGCGUUAUUCGGAAUUAUUGGGCGUAAAGGGCGCGUAGGCGGCCUGGCAAGUGGAAGGUGAAAUCCCUCGGCUUAACCGAGGAACUGCCCUCCAAACUGCUUGGCUUGAGUCCGGGAGAGGUGAGUGGAAUUCCCAGUGUAGCGGUGAAAUGCGUAGAUAUUGGGAGGAACACCAGUGGCGAAGGCGACUUCCUGGCCUGUUCUUGACGCUGAGGCGCGAAAGCUAGGGGAGCAAACGGG
This 253-nucleotide ribosomal RNA is filed under the name uncultured bacterium. RNAcentral's name for it is "partial 16S ribosomal RNA". It matches the Rfam family "Bacterial small subunit ribosomal RNA", at positions 524 to 776 of the family's 1533-position model. The record is from RNAcentral.